RNAcentral lists this ribosomal RNA (200 nucleotides) under Parascutigera sphinx. RNAcentral describes it as "partial 12S ribosomal RNA". Lineage: Eukaryota; Metazoa; Arthropoda; Chilopoda; Scutigeromorpha; Scutigeridae. The record is from RNAcentral.
UAUAUCAGCUUGUAUAUCACUGUCGUAAGAUUAUUUUAUAAGAAAUUUUUCAGUAAUAAUUUUUUAUUUAUGUCAAGUCAAGGUGCAGUAAAUGUUUAGGGUUGAGAUGGGUUACAUUGUAGGUUUAYAYACGGAUGUAGAUUUGUAAUAUUUAUUAAAGGUGGAUUUAAUUGUAAUAUGGAAUUAAUUAUUUUAUAUGG